UACAGAGGUCUCAAGCGUUGUUCGGAUUCAUUGGGCGUAAAGGGUGCGUAGGCGGCGCGGUAAGUCGGGUGUGAAAUCUUGGAGCUUAACUCCGAAACUGCAUUCGAUACUGCCGUGCUUGAGGACGGGAGAGGAGACUGGAAUUUACGGUGUAGCGGUGAAAUGCGUAGAUAUCGUAAGGAAGACCAGUGGCGAAGGCGGGUCUCUGGACAGUACCUGACGCUGAGGCACGAAGGCCAGGGGAGCAAACGGG
This 253-nucleotide ribosomal RNA is filed under the name uncultured bacterium. Its description in RNAcentral is "partial 16S ribosomal RNA". It matches the Rfam family "Bacterial small subunit ribosomal RNA", at positions 524 to 776 of the family's 1533-position model. The record is from RNAcentral.